GGGGCUGUAGCUCAGUGGUAGAGCGCUCUCCUCGAACGUGAGGCACUAGGUUCGAUCCUCGGCACCA
RNAcentral lists this transfer RNA (67 nucleotides) under Marmota monax (woodchuck). It matches the Rfam family "tRNA". From Rfam's summary of the family: Transfer RNA (tRNA) molecules are approximately 80 nucleotides in length. Lineage: Eukaryota; Metazoa; Chordata; Mammalia; Rodentia; Sciuridae. The record is from Rfam by way of RNAcentral.